RNAcentral lists this ribosomal RNA (255 nucleotides) under uncultured bacterium. Its description in RNAcentral is "partial 16S ribosomal RNA". It matches the Rfam family "Bacterial small subunit ribosomal RNA", at positions 524 to 776 of the family's 1533-position model. The record is from RNAcentral.
CACGUAGGGGGCGAGCGUUGUCCGGAUUUAUUGGGCGUAAAGAGCUCGUAGGCGGUUCGCUAAGUCGGGUGUGAAACCUCCAGGCUCAACCUGGAGACGCCACCUGAUACUGGCGUGACUAGAGUCCGGUAGGGGAGUGUGGAACUCCUGGUGUAGCGGUGAAAUGCGCAGAUAUCAGGAAGAACACCAGUGGCGAAGGCGGCUCACUGGUCCGGUACUGACGCUGAGGUGCGAAAGCGUGGGGGAGCAAACAGG